Non-coding RNA from Podarcis lilfordi (Lilford's wall lizard), 77 nucleotides. Lineage: Eukaryota; Metazoa; Chordata; Lepidosauria; Squamata; Lacertidae. The record is from the annotation of a GenBank genome assembly.
GCUUAACUGGAUAGCUCAAUUGGUAGAGCAUGAAAAUCUUAAUCUCAGGGUUGUGGGUUUGAGCUCCAUGUUUGGCA